CCUACGGGAGGCAGCAGUGAGGAAUAUUGGUCAAUGGACGAGAGUCUGAACCAGCCAAGUAGCGUGAAGGAUGACUGCCCUAUGGGUUGUAAACUUCUUUUAUAAAGGAAUAAAACGAGGCACGUGUGCCUUUCUGCAUGUACUUUAUGAAUAAGGAUCGGCUAACUCCGUGCCAGCAGCCGCGGUAAUACGGAGGAUCCGAGCGUUAUCCGGAUUUAUUGGGUUUAAAGGGAGCGUAGAUGGGUGUUUAAGUCAGUUGUGAAAGUUUGCGGCUCAACCGUAAAAUUGCAAUUGAUACUGGCAGUCUUGAGUACAGUUGAGGUAGGCGGAAUUCGUGGUGUAGCGGUGAAAUGCUUAGAUAUCACGAAGAACCCCGAUUGCGAAGGCAGCUUACUAAACUGUGACUGACAUUGAUGCUCGAAAGUGUGGGUAUCAAACAGGAUUAGAUACCCGAGUAGUC
RNAcentral lists this ribosomal RNA (460 nucleotides) under uncultured bacterium. Its description in RNAcentral is "partial 16S ribosomal RNA". It matches the Rfam family "Bacterial small subunit ribosomal RNA", at positions 338 to 795 of the family's 1533-position model. The record is from RNAcentral.